Phyllostomus hastatus (greater spear-nosed bat) is the source of this 531-nucleotide long non-coding RNA. RefSeq lists it as uncharacterized. NCBI's taxonomy places the organism in Eukaryota, Metazoa, Chordata, Mammalia, Chiroptera, Phyllostomidae. The record is from RefSeq and is a predicted model, not a curated record. The transcript has 3 exons.
AAAGGAACAAAACUCUGUGACUCCCCCAGUCCCGUCUGGGAAGGGACGGACAUUGGAAGCUCAGGAGCAGGUGAUUCCCCAGGGAAGGCUCCUCCAGUGUCGGCUCCUUUUGGUCUGAGUCGGCGGAGGUGAAAAGGGGGCUGCUGACUGAUGAGGCGGGGAGCUGCAUAUAUAAGGUCAACAAUGAGCUGGACAAGGAGCUGGAACCAUGGCCUGAGGCGCAGAUUCUCAGUUGUGCCAGCGGGAUGGUUGGUUGAAAACGCUGUGACUGGGAGUAGGGCUGGCUGGAGCCUUAGGUGCCGCUGCUCUCCCAGCAGCCACCCUUGCUAAUUCUGCAGUGAGGAACUGCUCCGACCCCAGUGACAGCCUGAAGAAGCCACAGGAUCCUGCCUUCGAAACCGCUGAGCAGCCGACCACCCCCACCUCUGCUGCCUCCCUGACCCCAGCUCCCGGGCAGCCCGCAGUUCUGUCCCUCGCUCUACCUCUCGCUGACCGAAAGGGAUGGAAUAAUUGCACCAAGACCUAGAAUGA